CCAUGUGAACGUUACCAAACUGUUGCCUCGGCGGGAUCUCUGCCCCGGGUGCGUCGCAGCCCCGGACCAAGGCGCCCGCCGGAGGACCAACCAAAACUCUUUUUGUAUACCCCCUCGCGGGUUUUUUAUAAUCUGAGCCUUCUCGGCGCCUCUCGUAGGCGUUUCGAAAAUGAAUCAAAACUUUCAACAACGGAUCUCUUGGUUCUGGCAUCGAUGAAGAACGCAGCGAAAUGCGAUAAGUAAUGUGAAUUGCAGAAUUCAGUGAAUCAUCGAAUCUUUGAACGCACAUUGCGCCCGCCAGUAUUCUGGCGGGCAUGCCUGUCCGAGCGUCAUUUCAACCCUCGAACCCCUCCGGGGGGUCGGCGUUGGGGAUCGGCCCUGCCUUGGCGGUGGCCGUCUCCGAAAUACAGUGGCGGUCUCGCCGCAGCCUCUCCUGCGCAGUAGUUUGCACACUCGCAUCGGGAGCGCGGCGCGUCCACAGCCGUUAAACACCCAACUUCUGAAAUGUGACCUCGAUCAGG
RNAcentral lists this ribosomal RNA (521 nucleotides) under Trichoderma sp. THIF26. RNAcentral describes it as "eukaryotic LSU rRNA". The stretch from base 179 to 332 matches the Rfam family "5.8S ribosomal RNA". The record is from RNAcentral. Lineage: Eukaryota; Fungi; Ascomycota; Sordariomycetes; Hypocreales; Hypocreaceae.